GCGCCAGUGGUGUAGAGGCAUCAUGCAGGAUUCCCAUUCCUGCGAGCUGGGUUCGAGUCCCAGCUGGCGCA
This is a transfer RNA of Pelodiscus sinensis (Chinese soft-shelled turtle), 71 nucleotides long. It matches the Rfam family "tRNA". From Rfam's summary of the family: Transfer RNA (tRNA) molecules are approximately 80 nucleotides in length. Their secondary structure includes four short double-helical elements and three loops (D, anti-codon, and T loops). Further hydrogen bonds mediate the characteristic L-shaped molecular structure. tRNAs have two regions of fundamental functional importance: the anti-codon, which is responsible for specific mRNA codon recognition, and the 3' end, to which the tRNAs corresponding amino acid is attached (by aminoacyl-tRNA synthetases). tRNAs cope with the degeneracy of the genetic code in two manners: having more than one tRNA (with a specific anti-codon) for a particular amino acid; and 'wobble' base-pairing, i.e. permitting non-standard base-pairing at the 3rd anti-codon position. NCBI's taxonomy places the organism in Eukaryota, Metazoa, Chordata, Testudines, Trionychidae. The record is from Rfam.